Lathyrus oleraceus (garden pea) is the source of this 358-nucleotide long non-coding RNA. RefSeq lists it as uncharacterized. NCBI's taxonomy places the organism in Eukaryota, Viridiplantae, Streptophyta, Magnoliopsida, Fabales, Fabaceae. The transcript is spliced from 2 exons. The record is from RefSeq and is a predicted model, not a curated record.
AGGGUUUUCACGUGAAAAGGAAAAGAGAGAAGCGGCUGAAAGUGGAAAAGGGCAAAAAGGCAGAGCAAGAGAAGAGGAAAAAGCUUGAAGCUAACGGAAGUGCCGGAUUAACUCAGGUAACGAGCAGUGAGUGAGUAGAAGCUAGUGCUAUGGAGUCUAGUGUCGUCCUUAGUGGGUCAUGCUCUGGUAGAUGUAACAUCGGGAGGGGAUGUUUGACUAUGUUUUAAUUUAGUUGUUGAUCAACUUUACAUGAGAUGUAGUACAUGAUUUGAAUGUCGAUGUUUUGUAUCCGCUGCGAAUUAUGCAAAAGAGUCUUAUUUUGAUUUAAUAAAUGAGCAUGACAGGAUAUUUUGAUAAA